RNAcentral lists this ribosomal RNA (415 nucleotides) under uncultured prokaryote. RNAcentral's name for it is "bacterial SSU rRNA". It matches the Rfam family "Bacterial small subunit ribosomal RNA", at positions 505 to 918 of the family's 1533-position model. The record is from RNAcentral.
GUGCCAGCCGCCGCGGUAAUACGGGGGGAGCAAGCGUUGUCCGGAAUCACUGGGCGUAAAGCGGGCGUAGGCGGCCGGCUAAGUCGGAUGUGAAAUCCCGGGGCUCAACUCCGGAACUGCAUUCGAUACUGGUCGGCUAGAGUUCGAGAGGGGGAUGCGGAAUUCCGCGUGUAGCAGUGAAAUGCGUAGAUAUGCGGAGGAACACCUGAGGCGAAGGCGGCAUCCUGGAUCGACACUGACGCUGAGGCCCGAAAGCGUGGGGAGCAAACAGGAUUAGAUACCCUGGUAGUCCACGCCCUAAACGAUGUCUACUAGCCGUUGCGGGUAUCGACCCCUGCAGUGGCGCAGCUAACGCGAUAAGUAGACCGCCUGGGGAGUACGGCCGCAAGGUUAAAACUCAAAUGAAUUGACGGGG